CCCAGACUCCUACGGGAGGCAGCAGUGGGGAAUAUUGCACAAUGGGGGAAACCCUGAUGCAGCAACGCCGCGUGGGUGAAGGAGCGUUUCGGCGCGUAAAGCCCUGUCAGCGGGGAAGAAGAAAGACGGUACCCGACCAAGAAGCCCCGGCUAACUACGUGCCAGCAGCCGCGGUAAUACGUAGGGGGCAAGCGUUAUCCGGAUUUACUGGGUGUAAAGGGAGCGUAGACGGUGCAGCAAGUCUGAUGUGAAAGGUCAGGGCCCAACCCCGGGACUGCAUUGGAAACUGUUGAACUGGAGUACAGGAGAGGUAAGCGGAAUUCCUAGUGUAGCGGUGAAAUGCGUAGAUAUUAGGAGGAACACCAGUGGCGAAGGCGGCUUACUGGACUGUAACUGACGUUGAGGCUCGAAAGCGUGGGGAGCAAACAGGAUUAGAUACCCUCGUA
This 446-nucleotide ribosomal RNA is filed under the name uncultured bacterium. Its description in RNAcentral is "bacterial SSU rRNA". It matches the Rfam family "Bacterial small subunit ribosomal RNA", at positions 330 to 792 of the family's 1533-position model. The record is from RNAcentral.